GAUGAACGCUAGCGGCAGGCCUAACACAUGCAAGUCGAGGGAGGAGCUUUCGGGCUUCGACCGGCGUACGGGUGCGUAACGCGUAUACAAUCUGCCUUUCACAUAGGGAUAGCCCGAAGAAAUUUGGAUUAAUACCUAAUGGUAUAUAGAGGUGGUAUCACCUUUAUAUUAAAGCUGAGGCGGUGAAAGAUGAGUAUGCGUUCUAUUAGCUAGUUGGAGAGGUAACGGCUCCCCAAGGCGACGAUAGAUAGGGGUUCUGAGAGGGAUAUCCCCCACACUGGUACUGAGAUACGGACCAGACUCCUACGGGAGGCAGCAGUGAGGAAUAUUGGACAAUGGUCGGAAGACUGAUCCAGCCAUGCCGCGUGCAGGAAGACGGCCUUAUGGGUUGUAAACUGCUUUUGCAGGGGAAGAAUAAGGACUACGCGUAGUUUGAUGACGGUACUCUGCGAAUAAGCAUCGGCUAACUCCGUG
This 474-nucleotide ribosomal RNA is filed under the name uncultured bacterium. RNAcentral's name for it is "partial 16S ribosomal RNA". It matches the Rfam family "Bacterial small subunit ribosomal RNA", at positions 28 to 507 of the family's 1533-position model. The record is from RNAcentral.